AUUGAACGCUGGCGGCAUGCCUUACACAUGCAAGUCGAACGGCAGCACGGGAGCAAUCCUGGUGGCGAGUGGCGAACGGGUGAGUAAUGUAUCGGAACGUGCCCGGUCGUGGGGGAUAACGUAGCGAAAGUUACGCUAAUACCGCAUACGAUCUUUGGAUGAAAGCGGGGGAUCGCAAGACCUCGCGCGAUUGGAGCGGCCGAUAUCAGAUUAGGUAGUUGGUGGGGUAAAGGCUCACCAAGCCGACGAUCUGUAGCUGGUCUGAGAGGACGACCAGCCACACUGGGACUGAGACACGGCCCAGACUCCUACGGGAGGCAGCAGUGGGGAAUUUUGGACAAUGGGCGCAAGCCUGAUCCAGCAAUGCCGCGUGCAGGACGAAGGCCUUCGGGUUGUAAACUGCUUUUGUACGGAACGAAACGGCUCUUUUUAAUACAGAGGGUUAAUGACGGUGCCGUAAGAAUAAGCACCGGCUAACUACGUGCCAGCAGCCGCCGCUG
RNAcentral lists this ribosomal RNA (500 nucleotides) under uncultured bacterium. RNAcentral describes it as "partial 16S ribosomal RNA". It matches the Rfam family "Bacterial small subunit ribosomal RNA", at positions 30 to 523 of the family's 1533-position model. The record is from RNAcentral.